RNAcentral lists this ribosomal RNA (356 nucleotides) under uncultured Rubellimicrobium sp. RNAcentral's name for it is "bacterial SSU rRNA". It matches the Rfam family "Bacterial small subunit ribosomal RNA", at positions 29 to 412 of the family's 1533-position model. The record is from RNAcentral. Lineage: Bacteria; Pseudomonadati; Pseudomonadota; Alphaproteobacteria; Rhodobacterales; Roseobacteraceae.
AACGAACGCUGGCGGCAGGCUUAACACAUGCAAGUCGAGCGGGCCCUUCGGGGUCAGCGGCGGACGGGUUAGUAACGCGUGGGAACGUGCCUUCUGCUUCGGAAUAGCCCUGGGAAACUGGGGGUAAUACCGGAUGUGCCCUGAGGGGGAAAGAUUUAUCGGCAGGAGAUCGGCCCGCGUCUGAUUAGGUAGUUGGUGGGGUAAUGGCCCACCAAGCCGACGAUCGGUAGCUGGUUUGAGAGGAUGAUCAGCAACACUGGGACUGAGACACGGCCCAGACUCCUACGGGAGGCAGCAGUGGGGAAUCUUAGACAAUGGGCGCAAGCCUGAUCUAGCCAUGCCGCGUGGGUGAUGAA